Molecule: transfer RNA, 73 nt
Organism: Endozoicomonas numazuensis
Lineage: Bacteria; Pseudomonadati; Pseudomonadota; Gammaproteobacteria; Oceanospirillales; Endozoicomonadaceae
Rfam family: tRNA
About the family: Transfer RNA (tRNA) molecules are approximately 80 nucleotides in length. Their secondary structure includes four short double-helical elements and three loops (D, anti-codon, and T loops).
Source: Rfam
GUGGGCGUAGCUCAGUUGGUAGAGCCCCGGAUUGUGAUUCCGGUGGUCGUGGGUUCGAACCCCAUCGUCCACC